RNAcentral lists this long non-coding RNA (6179 nucleotides) under Ananas comosus (pineapple). RNAcentral describes it as "long non-coding RNA (ACOM_LNC017060)". Lineage: Eukaryota; Viridiplantae; Streptophyta; Magnoliopsida; Poales; Bromeliaceae. The record is from RNAcentral.
UCUAUACAUUUUUACUAUUAUUUUAAUAUAAUUACAUAUUUUUUUAAAUUUAAUAAAUAUAAUAUUGAAUCUGAAUGUCUGAUCAAAUUUAAUGACUAGUGAAUUAAUUAAAUUUACUAAAAUCAUAUUUGCAAAUUUCAUGAGGCAUAAAAUAAAAAAGUUACUUCUACGUUACUGUAUUAGAUUGGUUUUUUAUGGUAUUUUUAGAUUAACUAUUAUUGUUUUAUAUAUAAUAUUAUCAGUUAUAAAAAAAAAAAAUCAUUUUUACAGUUCCAUUGGCUUGAAAUAGCUGGUGUUAUUACAUGAUUUGAGCGACAUAUAAUUUACAUUAUUAUUAUACAAUAAUUUAUACAACAUAUAGGGUCGUCGAAGAUAGAAAAUUUAGACCUCGUUUGGUUUUUUUUUUUAUUUAUUUUCUUUCAAAUUCAAAUUUAUAUAAGAUAGUAUAGAAGAGUAUUGUAAAUUGUUUGUAGUCUUUUCAUUUAAAGAUAUUUGUUUGUAAGUAAGAAAAAUGUUUAGAAACUCUUUUCUUGUGCUUAGUUAUAAAAGAGCUAUAUUUAUACACAUUUUGCUAUAUUAGAUCUUAUAAACUGAGUUAGGCUCAUUUUGUGUUCAACCUAUUUGUGAUUUUUUAGCUGUUAGAUUGCCUCAAAAUAUGUGCGGCGCUAAUAAAACAAAAAAAAUUAAAAAGACACAAUAUUGAUAAUGCUCCACGAAUAUUGAGUGCGACUCGAUGGUUAAAAUUGCAUACAGAUCAAGCUCGAUCAACUCUGUAAAAUUAAUAUUUAAAAUAGGCUAAAGAUAGAAAAACUUUCAUCAAAAUUUGAUUUUUUAUUUUUCUUUUUAUCAUUUAAAAAAGCUUACACUUUGUCCUCUUAAAAAAUAAAAAAUAUUCGCAAGGGGUACGGGUGUUAACUAUGGUGACAAAAUGACCAAAUUAUUUCUCACCCUUUUCGUCUCCUUCCCAAUUCUGGUCAUUCGCAGCCUCUUCUUCUCUGUUCUUUACGCCUCCCUCGACUUCGGCUCCGACUCCGUUUCUUCUAUCUGCUCCCCCGCUCCUUCUGCAUCCUCGUCGUCCCUCCAUUUCGACAGUGAUAGAGAGGAGAUCGAGAUGGGCGUGGGCCGAGAGAUGAGUGAGCGCGAGGGCAAGGCAGUUGAGGGCGAGGACGGUACGGCAGAGGAGGGCGAGGCGGUGCAGUCGAGGACGUCGGUGAUCAAAAGGGAGGGGACGAAUCUGAGAUGAGAAUUACAAAAAUAUUUUGGAUAUAAAAAAAUAUAAUAAUAUAAUAUAAACGGAACUCUAACAGAACAUCGAUAGCGAAAACCAAAGUGAAUAUUUUUUAUUUUUUUAAAAAAAAAUAUAAAUUUUUAAAUGACGAAAAGACAAAGUUAAAACGCAGGUAUCCACAGAAUUUUUUUUUUUUUAAUUUAGUUUUUAAACUACAAAGAAAAGACAAAAAUGUCAGAUGGUAAGUUCUAGUUAUUCCUAAUUCAUUUUUCGAUAGUCUUUGUUUGCCGCUACCAAGCACACGCAGAAUUUGAAUAAGUCAAGCGAAACAACCACUCACAUAUGAAAACAAAAAUCUCCCUCUCCACUCUCAUUAUUUUCAAUGUGAUUUUUUUUUCUAUUUUCCUUGGGUGUCCAUAAUUGACUUGGUGGAAAAAAAAAAAAGAAAAAAAAAAGAAAAAGAAAAAGCAUUGAUUAAUCCACAUGAAAAUGACACAAAAUUAAAGUUGGGUCUAGAUUUUGAAAUUAAAAAAAAAAAAAAAUUAUAUAGGUUCCUUCAGAUAUAGUGAAUUAUAAAUAGACUGGGGCUACUAUACUUUUAUGAGUAUAGACCUCCUUGUACUCAUAAAUUUUUAACCGUUGAUUGAUAGAAUGUGUGGUUAGGAUGAUGGAGGUCCUAACUUAGAAUGAUAGUGGUCCCGUAGGGUUCAGUGGGUUGUUGGUUUAAUAGUAAUAUGAUCUAACGGAUGGAAAUGAUCAAUGAAAUAAAUCUAAGGGCCAAAAACUUAUGAGUAUAAAGGUGCCAAUACUCAUAAAAGUAUAGCAGCCGAACUCUUACAAAUAUAUUCCUAUAAAACUCAACUUUUAUACAUUUUUUUCUAUAAAAGUCUAAUGUUUUCAAAUAUGUCCUCUGAUUUAUUACCGUUAAAACACCGAUUAUUUUAUAGAUGAAAUGAUCGUUUUGCCGUGACAAAUUGGUCUUACCAAAAAUCUCAAUUAUUAAUUGAAGAGGGAUAAAAAUGUCGAUUCACCUCAUUAACUAACCCGAGUUAAAUAUUUUACCUAUGUUGUUUAACUAUUUUUUUUCUUACGGAUCCUAACGGUAGAAACAUAUUUAAAAAUAUUAAAAUUUUUAUAGAGACAGUAUAUAAAAGUUGAACUUUAUAGAAAUGUAUUUGUAAUUCACUAUAUUUGUAGUGACCCAUAUGCAAUUAACAUUUUAAAAAAUAGCCUCUUGGGGUACGCUUAAUCAGGAUGUUGAUCAAAUAUUCAUUUACAAAUAUUCUUCUAAACUUUUGAAAAUUAUAUAUUUGUCACACAAACUUUUGAUUUUUUUUCUUUUUUUUUUUGUAAUUAAUCACUAUAGAUUGUAUUCUAUUAAUAAUUUGAAUUGACUAAGUUCAGGAACUAAGUAACAGUACAAGGAUAGUAGAGAGGCCAUCUAUAUAUUUUUUAAAAAAUACAACAUGUAUAGGGGUAUUAAACGUUUAAAAAAAUAAACUUCAAAUAUCACCCUAGUAGUUUCGCAUUUUCUCACUUUAGUGCCCUAUGAUUUAAAGCGUAUCAAUUUUGUACCCUAUAGUUUCAUUUUUUUCUCUUCGCAAGUCCCCCCGUUAACUUUUCGUUAAAUCAUAUACACAAAAUUUCAGAUACCCCACCUACGAUUUAUCGAAUAUUCACCUUUGUACCUUUUAGUUUUAACUUGGUCACCGAUUUAACAAAAAAAUUAGUAGAGGAGAUAAUGAAAAAAACAAAAUAAAAUCACUAGGUACGAAAGUGAUACAUUUUAAAUCAUAGAAUAUUUAAGUGAGAAAAUGUGAAACCACAGAUGUGGUAUUUGAAAUUUUUUCUUAAAUUUUUUUUUUUUUUUGAAUCAGCGACAAAAUUAAACUAAAAGGUACUAAAAUGAAUAUUCGAUAAACUAUAGGUGUGUGUCUGAAGUUUUUAAAAAUGAUUUAGCGAAAGGUUAACAGAGGGGUUGACGAAAAGGGAAAAAUAAAACUCAGGAUACUAAAUUAAGCCGCAGAUUACUAAAGUGAGAAAGUGUGAAAUAACAUGAGCGAUAUUUAAAGUUUAUUCGAAUUUAAAACAAAAGACAAGAGAACAUUGUAUGGUCAAUCAAUGUACAUGAGUCAGGUCAAUAGACCUAAAAUUUGUCCCCACCAACUAAAUUGAUCAAAUUUUAUUGGGAGACAGAGUAAAGAAAUAUCCCUAUCCACCGCAUUAAAUAAUGAGUGACAUGGCGAUACCUACUAUUCCUAUUGAAAUGUCACCAUUACCAUUUUCAUACGGCUUAUAUAUUUCAUUCUAGAAUUUACAAAAAAAAAAAAAAAAAAUUAAAUAUGAAAAAAAUUAAUAUGAUUGGUUAAAAAAAGUGAUUUUUAGAUAUUUUACAAAUUAAGUGUAGAGAUAACAUAACUUUUUAGUUGAAUAGAACCACUCAUUUUGUCCCUCUUUAUAUCUCCUUGUUGUUGAUGAUUAUAAAAAUAUUCUUCAUCAUUAUUAGGAUUUUUAUCUCUAUGAUCAACAUAGUUAGUGCCAUCUAAUAUAAAAUCCAAGGGAAAAUUAACUUGGAAAAGACCCCAAUCUCUUAGAUAACAUUAUGAGCAGGUUAGGUUCGAAUUAUGCAGUAUUAUUAUAAGGAAUAAUUGUCUAUAUACCCCUUCAUUAUUCUAAAAUAUUUCUGCGGUUAUCAUCCGUUAAGUUAACUUAGAUUAAACGUGAAUUAAAUAUCUGCCAGAGUUAAAAAAUAUUAAUGAUGGUAGAAGGAUAUAUUUGAAAAGACCAAAAAUCAAAAUAUUUUUAUGUUCCAACUUAAGAGCAAAUAAAAAAUAUUGGUUAUGACAUAAUGGUAUAUUGAAAGAGCAAAAUAAUAAUUUCAUAAAUAUAACAUUUGUUGCUAACAGUUUAUUAACAGAAUUUAACUCUAUGGAUAUAUUUGAAAUAGAUUGGAACGUAAUAAAAGUAUUUUCAAUAUUAGUUUUUUUAAGAAAGGUAAAUUAAAAAGUCAAAAAUUUUUCUGGUAUAUAACCAAUUGCCCCUAUUAUUAAUUAGGGAUAAUUGCCUAUAUAUCCUUCAUACGUUUGAAAAUAUCCGAUUUACCCAUACUCUUUUUUUUUUUUUCUUUCUAAAAUACCCCUCAUAUGUUCCACCGUUAUUGCAAAAUACCCCGCAGUUAUCUCCUAUUAAGUUAACCUGGGUUAAACGUGAGUUAAAUAUCUACCACAGUUAAAAAAAAAUAAAAUGCCAAUUUUGUCCUUAACUUAAGGGCAAAUAAGAAAUGUUGGUGAUUGUAGAGGGGUAUAUUGGAAAAGGCCAAAAGUCAAAAUACUUUUUGUGCCUCUGACUUUAAGGGCAAAUAAGAAAGACGGUGAUGGUAGAAGGGUAUAUUUAAAAGGGCAAAAUAGUAAUUUUACAGAGAUAACAAAGUUACUUAACAGAUUUUAACUCUAAGAAUAUAUUAGAAAUAUGUUGGAACGUAGGAGGAGUAUUUUCAAUAUUAGCGUUCUAAGAGAGGUAAAUUGGAAAGUCGGAAAUUUUUCAGGAGUAUAUAAGCAAUUGCCCCUUAAUUAGCUUUUAAUUAUUACUAUUAAUACUUACAUUCAAAAUAGUGACUCGAUUUAUAUAUUUCAGUAAAUCUGACAGUAAAAUCUUAUUAUUUCAAAUAUAUAUUCUAUGGACAAUAAUAAAUUAUUUUAUACAGUAAAUUUUAGAACGACUUGAAUUAUUUUAUAACAAUUCUAUUUAUAAGCCAACCGUAUGCUUUAAACGAGUCUCGUAGUUUAAGAAAACUACUGCUAGCACAGUUGAUAAUAAUAUGCUAACUAUUUUUCUGCGUAAGAAUCAAGUUAUACUAUUUUAUUAGAAUUCCAAAAUGAGGUGGGGGUGGUAGUAGAAUCAUAAUCUAAAUAAAUAGAUUUGGUAAUUUAAUUACUUGUGCAAUUCCCAAUUUUUUUUUUUUAAUUUUUUUUUUUUUACCAAUUCCUCCUCUAACGGUCAAAAAAAGGCGAACCCACGCGCCCCGUGAUUGACUCCGACCCAAAAAACAAAAGAAAAUAAAAAAAGAGCCGUUGAAAAGUCAGAAUUUAAAAUCCCCCAACCCCCACGAAACCCUACCCACCGUUCACUCCGAUCCGCGCCGAUCCGCGCCGAUCCGAGCCGAGGGGCGGGCUACGGACGCCAAAGGCCGGACUCCAAACCCCGGUUUAUGGCGGACUCCAAAUCCCGAGAAUUAAUCGGGUUGAAUAAGAAAAGCGACGCGCCCGUGACGGAUGGCCCCAGAAUCCCCAUCCGCCCCACUUUACCUUUUCCUCACCCCUCCCACAUUUUUUUUUUUAAAUAAUUAAUAAUUAAUAAUAAUAAUAAUAAUAAUUAAUAAUUAAUAAUUAAUAACAAAUAAUCAUUAGUUUAUUUUUUUGUAUUAAAUUAUUAUUAUUAUUUUUCGGUUUCCGAAAUUGCCCCUCGGAAAGAUCCCCCGCCCCUCCCCACUACGCCCUCACUACUUUUUCGCUCUUCCCAUAAUACACCUCACCACCGUACACUUCGCUCUUGUUGUUAAUAUUAUUAUUACUAUUAUUAUUCGCAACUUGUGCCUUUUCCUACUAUACCCUCUUCAAACAAACGCUUCUCUCUCCUCCUUCUCCCUCCCUCCCUCUUUCUCUCUCUCUCUAGCAUCUGAGAGAGUCUCUAAUGGCGGAUUCGGGAAACCCUAAGAGGGCGAGGGGGGAGGAGGAGGAUGAGGAAGGGGAGAGAGGGGAGGCGAAGAGGCUCAGGGCGGAGGAGCUCCUCGAGAUCCUCGACGGCGACGACGCCGCCGCGGCGGAGGAGCUCGCGUCCGUGAUGCGGAGCUUCGAGGAGGAGAUCGCGGCGGCUUCGCCCCCGCCGCCGCGAUCGGCGGCGGCGGAGGUUGCCGGAGAUGGGAGGGAGAUGGAUCUGGGGUACCUGUUGGAGG